GUCGCACAAAUCCCUAUUGAGGCAACAGACGGCUAGUUGACCCCAGUAAGACCUUUGAACGCGUCUAAGUGCGAGAGAAACCGAAAGACUUGACGUCGCAUUUGCCAUAAACCAACUCAACGGAGUGGCGAAUUGAAACUUCGAGUUACAAAG
Drosophila melanogaster (fruit fly) is the source of this 153-nucleotide small nucleolar RNA. The record is from Ensembl. Lineage: Eukaryota; Metazoa; Arthropoda; Insecta; Diptera; Drosophilidae.